GAUGAACGCUGGCGGCGUGCCUAAUACAUGCAAGUCGAGCGAACAGACGAGGAGCUUGCUCCUCUGAUGUUAGCGGCGGACGGGUGAGUAACACGUGGAUAACCUACCUAUAAGACUGGGAUAACUUCGGGAAACCGGAGCUAAUACCGGAUAACAUGUUGAACCGCAUGGUUCAACAGUGAAAGACGGUCUUGCUGUCACUUAUAGAUGGAUCCGCGCCGCAUUAGCUAGUUGGUAAGGUAACGGCUUACCAAGGCAACGAUGCGUAGCCGACCUGAGAGGGUGAUCCGCCACACUGGAACUGAGACACGGUCCAGACUCCUACGGGAGGCAGCAGUAGGGAAUCUUCCGCAAUGGGCGAAAGCCUGACGGAGCAACGCCGCGUGAGUGAAGAAGGUCUUCGGAUCGUAAAACUCUGUUAUUAGGGAAGAACAAAUGUGUAAGUAACUAUGCACGCCUUGACGGUACCUAAUCAGAAAGCCACGGCUAACUACGUG
Molecule: ribosomal RNA, 497 nt
Filed under: uncultured bacterium
Lineage: Bacteria
Description: partial 16S ribosomal RNA
Rfam family: Bacterial small subunit ribosomal RNA
Source: RNAcentral